GCAGUCGUGGCCGAGUGGUUAAGGCGAUGGACUAGAAAAUUCAUUGGGGUCUCCCCGCACAGGUUCGAAUCCUGUCGAUUGCG
This 83-nucleotide transfer RNA is filed under the name Ixodes scapularis (black-legged tick). It matches the Rfam family "tRNA". From Rfam's summary of the family: Transfer RNA (tRNA) molecules are approximately 80 nucleotides in length. Their secondary structure includes four short double-helical elements and three loops (D, anti-codon, and T loops). Lineage: Eukaryota; Metazoa; Arthropoda; Arachnida; Ixodida; Ixodidae. The record is from Rfam by way of RNAcentral.